AUAAAAUUGUUUCAGGUGCUGAACAGAAACUUCUUUAUGGGACAGACAGAGCCUUAUGUUCCUGAGUUGCUCUCAUCUCUAAUGAUGUUAUUUUUAAAAAGGAAAACCAGUUUGGCUAUUAAGGGAACCUGUCGACACAGAGCAGAGCAAGAUAAGGCCAGGUUUCAGAGAGAAUAGCUGUUUACCAUCAAAGCAACUGGGUUCCACACAGACAUGGUUUAUUAUACACAAAGACGAUGACAUUCAGCAUGGUAAGGCACUAAGUGCCUAUGUUGCACCAAAGACCUGUGAAUAAGAACAUGCAAGAUUCGUGUAGCCAGGUUGGAACAAUCCAGGGCCAAGCAGCCUGUGUGCUCAAUUGAGGAGUGCUGAAGAGAAUAGAGCUCCAAGUCAAGGCAUUUGGAUGUUUAUCACUUCCUGGUUCAUUCGGUCAACAUAUGUCAAUUUAAUAAACAUGUCAGCACUCACAUUUUUACCCAGGCCUCUGAGGCUGUGGACUAUUUAUCCCCAGUGUCCAGUUCAGGAAGCUGAGGCAGAGAAAGCUUAAAUUACUUGCCCAGGUCACAUAACUAGUAAGUGGAAGGAGCCGAGAUGGAUACAGAUGAAUAAGGCACUAUGCUGAUGGAGAAGAAUGGUCCUGAUUUCAAAUAAAAGACACAGUGAGAAAAAAGUCCGAAGAGGAGAUUUGAUGUGAACUCUGGCUCUGUGGGAUUCAAAUUUAGCCAAAAAGAUGAUGCUAAGUGGUUAGUGUCCAGGGCGAAGUGGAGAAAGAAUGGGCAGCUGGGUCGAGUCUCGAGUGCAGUGAGAAGGAAGUGGGGACAGGUGCAUAGUGAGAGAGGCUGGAGAUCCCUUUUUAUCUGAUGCCAGUUGUGUAGUGUGGGAGGAGAUUUCUAAAAGACACUGUGCAGGGUGGGGCAGAGACCAACAUGGGACAUUGUGGGUAGGGAAGGGCCCCUGAGAAAGAUGUGAUCUUCCAUGGGUCCUGAGACCCUGGCCAGGACUCUGAGAUCCAGAGAGUAGAAUAGGGGAUCUUUGGGGUAAUGGCAGGGACAGGGGCAAGACUACGCAAGGCAAUCCAGAAAGGCACAUUGAAGCAGGAGAGAGGUGGUGGGUACUAUGACUUGGAUCAUUCCCCAUUCAUGGCAACUUAAUUCUAGUGCUCCUUCUUGUGUUGCAGAGCCUAUGGUUCAUAGAUAACCCUUACAGCUAGAGUUUUGGAGGUGAAUUAGGUUGAACCAAUCAGCUACAUCUUGUGAGAUGUGAAUCCAGACCUAAGGCGGGAGAAACAUAGCGUACAACACAAUUUUGCUGAAGAUAAAGUCAUACUGCCUGAAUCCAGUUCAAACUUUGGCUUGCAUUGUAUCCACUACUAAACCAUCUCAUAACUCAACCUAGAGUCAAAGAGGCAGGGCAGAUUACUGCAAAGUUACAUGGCAAAGGGCACUGAUACACGGAGAGGUGAAGAACUAGGGCCAUUAAGGCAAUCCACUAUAGGGAGUAGCAUGAUACCAUUUCUAUGUUACAAGGACCACUCCAGCAGCUGUGAUGACAGCAAAUUGCAGGGAAGCAAGGUUAGAAAGAGUGGGAGAACACACAGGAGGUUAUGGCAAGAGUCCAAGUUAGAAAUGAGUUUGGAGUAGCAUAGUAGCAGUGAAGAUGGUGAGAACAGGUCGAAUUCUGGACGUAUUUUGAAGAUAGAGCUUACAGCACUUGCGGAUGGCUGAGAUCUGUGGUAUGAGAGGUGGCAAGAAAUGAAAUGUAACAUGGUUUUUGGCCUUAGCAAGUGGUUGUCACUUCUUCUGAGGCUCCAGUAGACCAAUAAGUGACUGGAUGCAUGGGGAAUACAUGAAUGUGUUCACUUUUGAUAAAUCAUGGAGCUGUAAAUACUGUGCAUUAUUUGCAUGGCUUUCCGCAAUAUUAUAUAUAUUGGCUCUCACUGAAAAACCUAAGAAAAAUUUGGUAGAAAGAUGUUUAAUAAAUACUGAGAGUCAGGCUCACCACUUCCUUUAACUCAUCCCCUUGACUCAUAGACUCUUCUUUUCAACUGUCUGUUGAAUUUACUCUUUCUUUCCAUCUCCUCUGUUCAUGUUUCAGUUCAGACCUCUUGCCUGGACAAUUGCAGCACAACUAAUUUGUCUCAUUGACUCUGGUCCCCUGUCUAUCCUUACACUAUGGCAGGAACAUCUCUAUAAAAUACAAAUCUGAUCACGGCUCUUUCCUGACAAAAGUUACUUCUUUUUUUUUUUUUUGAGACAGAAUCUCGCACUGUCACUCGGGCUGGAGUGCAGUGGCGCCAUCUCAGUUCACUGCAACCUUUGCCUCACAAGUUCAAGUGAUUCUCCUGCCUCAGCCUCCCAAGUAGCUGAGAUUACAGACGCCCACCACCAUGCCUGGCUAAUUGUUUUGUAUUUUUAGUAGAGAUGGGGUUUCACUAUGUUGACCAGGCUGAUCUCGAACUCCUGUCCUUGUGAUCCACCGCCUUGGCCUCCCAAAUUGUUGGGAUUACAGGCAGGAGCCACCACGCCCAGUCUGUAAUUAUUUUUUAAGGCCAAGUUUAUUUUCUAUUUCUAUUAAAGAAACCUGAAUAAAGUGAGGGAAUUAGCCAUUAGAUAUGACCUAUACAAAAAAGUAAUAGAAGGAAAAAGCACCCCAAAUCUCACCAUAUAAAAAUCUCUCCUUUCAGUCUUUUUUAAAUGCCAUUUUCUUCUAACAUAGUUUAAAACAUACAAUAUAAAUUCUUACUUUUUCAUGUAAUAACAAUUAUUUUUCUCUAGAUAUUUAAAAAUGCUUUACGUAUUUUUGUGAAAAACCUAUUUCCAUGUUGCUUCUCAGCACCUACGUUAUUUGUUUUGUUUUACAUGUGGUAUUUGACCAUCAAUUUAUUGGAUGUAGUGCUUUUAUUGAUUUGUGUAAGCUUUUUAUAUAUAAAAAUAAUCAAUUUUUCAGUUUAAAAAAUGUCAUUUAGAGCUGUUCUAGGCUGCAAAAAGCAGAAAACUAGGUCAUUAUUUUUUCCAUUGCUGUAUAACAAAUGAUCACACAUUUGAUGGCUUAAACCAAACAAAUAUAUCAUCUUACGGUUCUGGAGGUCAGGGGGCCAAAAUGGAAGUGUCGUCAAGGCUGUGCUUCCUUCUGGGGGCUCCAAAGGAGCAUGUGUUUCCCUGCCUUGUCUAGUCUCUGGAGGCUGCCUGUAUUCCCUGACUCAUGAUCCCUGCCUCUGUCUUCAAAGCCAGCAAUGGCAAGCUGAGUCGUUUGCACGUAUAAUCAUUCCCACCUAUACUUUUGUUCACACCUCCUUCUCUAACUCUGAUCUCUCUCCUGCCUCCCUCUUCCACUUAUUUUUUUUUUAAGCCAGUGUCUCGCUUUAUCACCCCGGCAGGAGUGCAGUGGCACAAUCACAGCUCAUUGCAGCCUCAGCCUUCUAGGCUCAAGCAGUCCUUCUGCCUCAGCUUUCAAGCAGCUAAAACAGGUGCAUGUCACCACACUUGGCUAAUUGUUUUAAUUUUUUUUGUAGAGAUGGGGUCUCACCAUGCUGCGCAGGCUAGUCUAGAACUACUGGCCUCAAGUGAUCCUCCCAUCUCUGCCUCCCAAAGCACUGUGAUUACGGGAAUAAGCCUCUGAACCUGGUCCACUUUCAUAGACAUUUUAAAAAUGACAUUGAGCUUAUCUGGAUAAUCCAGAAUAAUCUUCCUAGUUUAAAGUUAGAUGAGUAGCAACCCUGAUUCCAUCUGCAACCUUAAUUCCUCUUUGCCAUGUAACAUAACAUAGCCACAAGUUCAAGGGAUUAGAAUGUAGAUAUCCUUGGGUGGGGAAGGGGUGGGGACAUUAGUCUACCUUCCAUACCAGGCAUAUAAACAAGUGGAAGUGUUAUUGGUCUUAUAUAAAAAGAAGUUUAGGGGGAGUGGUGGAGAGGAUCACAAAGAGAAAGAUAAACAAAAAAGAAGGCUAGGGCUAGUGUAACAAUUUAAUGAUGCCGUCAAGUAUCCAGUCUCUUUCCAUCUUUCUGCUAUGCCAUCCUUAGCUGAUGAACCCUUGACUCUGUGCUUGUUGCCUCAUGGUUGCCAGAUGGUUGUUGGGUAUCCAGGCAUUUCAUCCAUGCUCCAGGAAAGAAGAAAAGUGGCCGUGUGAAGGCAAAGGGGUGAAAGAUGGAAGGCCAUGCCAGCUGAGUAUAUGUCCUAGGUCAGAUUCUCUGGAAGCAGCCCCUCACCCAUUCAUGUGUUAGUGAUUUACUAAGGAAGUGUUUCCAGGAGAAAUCUGUAAAUGGAAUAAAGAAGAUAGCAUAGAGAAGAGAAAGCGGAGAAAGUGUGAUUUUGGGUCAAGAACCAGCUUCAGCCUGGUUUCAGGAGGAACCUUGAGCAUAAAUUACACUAGAGUUUGUGUCAGCUUGAAGCAAAGUAGCUGACUGUACAGACUUCUCCUCCAGCUGAUGCAUGAGGAGUAGUGAUGGUGGCGGUGGUAGAGAUUGACCGCCCAGGCCCUUCAGACAUCCGGGCAAAGAGGCUGUACCAGCCCAAAGUAGUGCUCUGAAGAUAGUAACAGGUGCCUGUUGUUAGGGAUAACUCAGAGAAAUAAGGGAGUGAGCUCAUGGGCAGGCAGAGAGUUGGAGGUAAUCUGGGUGGAGCACCAUGCCUUUGCUGCAGUUUGUGUCUUUUAUUAUAUAAAGCUUCUCUAAAUGCCCUAUUUAGCAAGCUCCAAUACAGUCCUUCCAUCUAGACUUACCAUAUAGCCACCUCUAGCUGCAAAGGUGUCUAAAACGAGAUUUCUACCAGGAUACAUUGCCGCUUUUACAAAACUGGGGGGCUGGCUGGGUGCUGUGGUUUAUGCCUGUAAUUCCAGCACUUUGGGAGACUAAGGCAGGUGGACCACUUGAGGUCAUGAGUUCACGACCAGUCUGGCCAACAUGGCAAAACCCUGUCCCUACUAAAAAUGUAAAAAUCAGCUGGGUGUGCUGGUGUGUACUUGUAAUCUUAGCUACUUGGGAGGCUGAGACAGGAGACUCACUUAAAUCUGGGAGGCAGAGGUUGAAGUGAGCCCAGAUAGUGUUACUGCGCUCCAGCCUGGAUGAUAGAGUGAGAAUCUGUCUCAAAAAAAAAAAAAAAAAAAUUGGGGGUCUGUUAGUAAAGUAAAAAGGAGAGAACGAAUCUAGGUAGGCAACCAUCAGACUCUGUGAAAAUUAUUUUUCAUUUAGUUUUAACUUUUGGUCAUUUUAAAAACAAUUAAAACUUUUACAUAGUAGAUAUUUUAUUUUGUAAUUCCUUCUAAUAUUACAAAGUUACAAUGCCGUUCUUAAACAGAGAUCUAAUAAAUGCCAAUCUAUAUUUUCUCUGUAUUUUCUAGUUCAUAAAAAUACUCAACUCUAUUCUAUCUAUAACUUAUUUUGGUGAAUAAUGUCAAGUGAUGCUACCAGUGAUUUUUUUUCACUAAUUCCUAACCCAUUUUCCCAAUAUUAUGUGCAUAUGUAUAUAUAUAUACCCAAACAUACAUGCAAACACUGUAUUCUAUUUGCGGACUAUAUGUGCCACUCCAGUGGUCUGCUGAUCCUUUUGUCAUGUUUUAAAAAGUAAUGGUUUUACAACAUAUUUUUAUUGUGAUAGGGGAAGCACCCAUCCUCAUUUAUUUUAUUUUACCUUUUUGUAUUUUUUGAGACGGAGUCUCGUUCUGUUACCCAGGCAGGAGUGCAGUGACACCAUCUCUGCUCACUGCAACCUCUGCCUCAUGGGUUCAAGCAAUUCUCCAGCCUCAGCCUCCUGAGUAGCUGGGAUUACAGGUGCCCACCACCAUGCCCGGCUAAUUUUGUAUUUUUGGUAGAGACAGGAUUUCACCAUGUUGGUCAGGCUGGUCUUGAAUCCCUGACCUCAGGUGAUCCACCUGCCUUGGUCUCCCAGAUUGGUAGGAUUAUAUGAGUAAGCCACAGUGCCUGGACUUUUUUCUUUCAAAUUAGUAUGGAUUUCAUCAAAUGGCUUUCAACAUUUAUUGAUCUGAUCAUAUAAUUUUUCUAACUGAUCAAUUUAUAUGCAUAUUAUUACUUAGCUCUGUAUUAUAUAACAUUGAGCUUCAAUUUUCUUCCCCCCAAAGAAGGUGUUUGAUUAGGUGACUGUCAGGCUCCCGUCCAUAUCUAACAUUUUAUUAUCCUAAGAAUUGUCUGUCUCUGAAGAAGAUUCCACAUAUUGACCAUACUGAACUCAGUAAUGGUUGCUUUCCGCAUGAACCAAUACGUGCCUGUAAGUAAGGUGUGAGGUGACAGCCCUUCUGGAAACUCAGUAGCCUCUAGUCUUCCUGCCAGUACACUUCACUUUUCCUGACAAGCCCAAUAGCUUCAUUCCUCAGGCUCCAAAGCUGUCAUUUCUAAAGAAAAAAUAGAGGGAAACAACAACUCAGACCAUUAAAUAAUAAUAGCAAAAAUAAUAAAUUACUAUGUUGUUGAUCUAUAUUUAAUCAAUAAGUUAAACUAAGAACUGUACCUGGUACAUAUAAACAUUACAUAAUUACUAGCUGUCAUAUCUUGUUGUUAUUUUUAAAUUGACUAUUUCAUAAUAAAUGUUGAGAUGGGAGAUCUGAAUCUAUUCAUUCUUUAGCUGGUCUCAGUUCACUCUUCCUUCUUAUAGAGUUAAAAUCUUCUCAUUCUAAGACUCUUCAAAUUUUGUUCUAGUGUUAGUUUUGUUCUCAUGUUUUUUGCACAAUGUGGCCCCUAAAUGCAAGUCAAUUACUUCAUCUGGUGCUUAUCUGAAGAAAUAGCUUUCCUUCAAAUGCUAAAGAAAAGACUUGCUAUGUUGGACCUAGUGAAAGGUGGUAUGUCAGUUUUCAGUAGAUCCUCAUUAUUUGCAGAUUGUACCUCUGUGAACCCACCUACCUGCUCAGAUUCAUUUGUAACACCCAAAUCAAUAUUUGCUGGACUUUCACACUCAUUUACAGACCUGCAACAAAUAGUGAAAAACUUUGAUUUGUGCAGUGCAUAAGUUUCCCAGCUGAGGCUGAACCAGGCUUUGCUGUCCUGUUUCAUUUCUCAUAUUGCCAACUGUCCUUUCUGAGAUCAAUUUAAUGCCAUUUUUUUGCAUUUUUGUGCUCUUGUUGAUGGUUUUGCUGUUUAAGAUGCCCUCCAAGCACAGUGCUGAAGUGCUGCUUAGUGUUCCUAAGCUCAAAAAGUCUUUGAUGUGCCUUACAGAGAAAAAAAAUGUGUGUUUGAUAAGCUUUGUUCAGGCAUGAGUUAUAGUGCUGUUGGCUAUAAGUUCAAUGUUAAUGAAUCAACAAUAUAUAUUAAGGAAUAUUUCUUUAAAUAGAAACACAUAUAAAACAAGGUUACAUCCUGAAUAUGAAAGUUUUGACUAGAGGCUUGAAGGACCCUAACUUGGUAUAUUCUUUAGGAGCAAGGAAUAAAUUAGGAAAACAGCUCAGGUUCUCCUAAUUUAGUGUUUGCAAUAACUUUAUAGAACAUACCUACCACAAAUAAUGAGAAUCAAGUGCCCUUUUCUAAAGAAUAUUCCAGGAUUAUUUGGGCUAUUUGUGAAUUUCAACCUUGAGUGUAUUCAUGAUACUCCUCACUCCCCAAAGAUGGGAGUCCUCUGUAUCUUACUUGAGCAUGAAACAAGAAGCAUUUACUAUGCCUUCCUCUUGAGGUCAUUUAGACCUUGUUAUUUAAAUGUCUAGUGAGGGGGGUUCAUUGUUUAAUUUCACAUUUUAGAUUGUAUAUUCAGUUUCUUCAUUAAAAAACAAUGCUUUUUAUUAAGGAGUACUGAAUAUAGUUUUUAGGGGGGAAAGUGCAAUUGCACUCUGAUUAAUGAUGUUAUGGAUUUCUCAGUGACUUCUUUUUUUUGAGAUGGAGUCUCUCAUUCUGUCACCCAGGCUGGAGUACAAUGGCAUGAUCUUGGCUCACUGCAACCUUGGCCUCUCGGGUUCCAGCGAUUCUUCUGUGUCAGCCUCUCGAAUAGCUGGGAUUACAGCCUGCUCAUAGCUUUCCUGAAAAUUUAAGCUGGCUCUUAAGAACCCAUACAAGCUGGUUCUAGCACACUGCUAAAUACAUAUAUGAUGGCAAGUUAUUGACUGUGGUAAUCACCAUCCCCCACCCAGGGGGAGGGAGAGAGUUGUAGUUUGUGGAUAGGGACCUUCACCAUUUACUCUGUAUGCUUCUCUUUUGUUUAUAUUGCUAGUGUAAUAAAAGUGAAUAGAAAGUGAUUUUCAUAAAAGAUUGAUUGCUCUAAUAGCCAAUACUUCCUUCUCUCUUUUCAACUGAGCCCAAGCCCCUGAAGUAGCAUGGAUCAAUGGAGAGAGUGUUGGACUAGGAACUAAAAGUUAUCUUUUCUUCCUGGUUUGGCCUUUGAAAGACUGAAAACUCGAGAGCAAAUUAUUUAAUUUCUCUAAGUGUUAGCAUCUUUGUAUGUCAAAUGAAAAUAUAUAAGGGUUUCAUGCUGUUCUAAUCUUUACUUUUCUAAUGAUUUCUUAUAUCAUUCAAUACAUUUACCAUCGCAAGAGAUCACAGCAGUCACACAAAGUUUUUGUGUGAAGUCCCAGAUUAUCCCAUUUAUUUAUUUAUUUAUUUAUUUACUGAGACGGAGUUUUGCUCUUGUUACCCAGGCUGGAGUGCAAUGGCGUGAUCUCGGCUCACCGCAACCUCCGCCUCCUGGGUUCAGGCAAUUCUCCUGCCUCAGCCUCCUGAGUAGCUGGGAUUACAGGCGCACGCCACCGUGCCCAGUAAUUUUUUUGUAUUUUCAGUAGAGACAGGGUUUCACCAUGUUGACCAGGAUGGUCUCGAUCUCUUGACCUCGUGAUCCACCGCCUCGGCCUCCCAAUGUGCUGGGAUUACAGGCUGGGCCAGAUUAUCCCAUUUAUUACUCAUUUUAUUUCCUGAGUUUUUGAAGUGUUAUGGACUUGAAAUUCAUGGUCAGUGUUGAUAAUUAUAAAACUUGGGUGGGUUAGAAAAAAUCGAGGUUUGGAAGUUGGCUAAAAAAAGAUCCAGAAGAUGUUGUCUGACUAGCUCUGUUCCCAGCAGGGUGCACUGAUUUACAGACUCAUGGAUAGUAUAUGUGAUGAGGGGCCUGGGCCCUGGGCCUUCUGAGAGCCCUCCCAUGCCACCUACGUUUGUAUUCUUCUAGAAUGCAUUGGCUUAAGUAGCUGCACUGAUUCUAGUCUCUGACCAGGCAAAUAAUUUCAUUAUUUUUAUUUUUAAACUGUAAAAUAGUAGAUGUUUAUUAUAGAAAAUUUUGAAAUACAGAUGAGCAAAAAAGAGAACAGGAAGAUCACUGAUGUUAAAGUAUAGAAUUUUCCACUUGUUGUUGCUGUGUUUUGUAUAUACGUAAAUGAACAUAUGGAUGUUUUAAAUGACAUCAUACUUCUUGAGAGUGGGGCACAGCAUAGACUCAGAGUGUAGACUUUGGAGCCAAAACGUUCACGUUGGAAUCCUGGCUCCAUCCCUCACUAACUGUGUGACUUCAGACAGUUCACCAUUCCACUUUGAGCCUUAGUAAAAAGAGGAUGAUAGAGUCUACCUUGUAAGAUUAUUGUGGCAAUUCAGUGAGUUAAUACACAUGAAAACCUUAUAGAACAGUGCUUUGGACACAAUUCAAUGAAUGAUAGCUAUUUUUAUUGUAUUCCAUUGUAUAUUGAUACACUGUAGUUUACUAACAUCUUACUUUUGAGCAUUCAAGUGAUUUAUAAUUUUUCAUAGGUUUUUUAAAUACAUUCUCAGGAUAAAUUCUAGACUUGGAAUCACUUAGUAUUUGCAUAUUGAGGUUCUAGACAUGGAAUCAUUUAGUGUUUACAUAUUAAGGUUCUAAAUAUAUAUUAUGAUAAUUAAAGUCUUCCUUACACACAGCAUCCACUAAGUGAACAAACACGUCCCAUCUCUCCCUCUUAUCAAUGCUAGUAAAAUGGUUGGGCUUUCACAUUUUCUUAUCAAAAUGAGAUUUCCACUUAUUUCCAUAAUAUAUUCAAAUCUAUACUCUUUAUCUUAAAUGCAGAAUAAAUGCCUGAGAUAUUAUUAAACUGUGAAAAUUAAUUAAAUCUUAAGGCAAACACUUUUUUCUGGAAAUUAAUUCGCCAGGUUGUGGCUAGGCAUAUACAUCCAUGGUAAGCAAUUCACCCCCAGCGUCACUACUGGGCAAAAGCAGUAAAAGAGACACAAACUGCAGCUCCUCCAAGGUGGAGGGCAAGAGGGCCUCCCACUUUCCCUCCUCAUCCUUGUUGGACGUGCAGAUUCUGAUCCUUCCUCAUGGCUCUGAGGCAGACCCUUUCCACAACCUUGGAAGAAGAUGCUGUUGCCAUCUCUGCUGGCUUCUGACUCCAUUUGAGAGGUUUGUUCGCUCAAAUCACGGCCAGCCUAACAGGGAUACUGAUGAGGGAAUGCCACAAUGGGCAAUGUGUCAGCCAGGUUCUUCCACAGACCCAGAACCAGCAGGGGACUGGAGACUCUCCACAGGUGCCAAACCUGCUGUCCCCAAGUGGGAUUUCUUCUUCUGCAGGGAAACCUGAGUUUUGUCCUUAAGGUCUUUCAUGAACUGAUUGAGGAGAACCUCACCAUAACAACUAGAUUAGUGUUAAAAAAUUUUUUUCUUGGCUGGGCAUGGUGGCUCACUCCUGUAAUCCCAGCACUUUGGGAGGCUGAGGUGGGUGGAUCAUGAGGUCAAGAGUUUGAGGCCAGCCUGGCCAAUGUGAAACCCCAUCUCUACUAAAGAUACAAAGAAUUAGCUGGGCAUGGUGGCCGGUGCCUGUAGUCUCAGCUACUCGGGAGGCUGAGACAGGAAAAUUGCUUCAACUCAGGAAGCAGAGGUUGCAGUGAGCUGAGAUUGUGCCAGUGCACUCUAGCCUGGGUGACAGGGCAAGACUGUCUCAAAAAAAAAAUUUUUUUUUUUUUUAGAAACAAGGUCUCACUGUGUUGCUCAGGCUAGAUUCAAAUUCCUGAGCUCAAGUGAUCCACCUGUUUUAGCUUGCUAAAUAGCUGGGGCUACAGUAUGGGCCAAUAUGCCAGCUUAGUGUUUAAUUUAUUUACCAGGUGCAUUAGCCUGGCCAAUUGACCCAUAUGACUGGCCAUCACAGACAGUCACAAGAAUAAGAAGUGUUCAUGAAGGGUGGCCUGACUUCUGUUCCUACCAAGUCCCUAAGCCCCCCUUGAGUGCCAUACCAGGCAAUGUGCACAAUUUCUGGGCUGAUGGAGAACUGCCCUUAGCCAGCUCUUCUUCUGAGAGAAGAUUGUGCUAAACUCUCUGCAUAUAAAGGCAUAAGGGAGCUUGUUAUUCCUGUUUUCAUGCAGGGUGAUCUGAAAAUUACAGAUCAUCAGGGUCAUGUCAUAAAUGAUUUCAGAGGGAGGUCUGAAAUAUCCACUCUAAAGACUAUGGUGGAGAGGGUCAGAGGAUUAAUCAUGGUAUAAGUCAGUGAUUCCAAAUAUGAUUCCAACAUGAGUUCACGGGAACACUAGAUCCAUGGGAUAGCAAAUAAUCGGUGCAAGGUGAAGAUUCUGAGGUAAAAAAAAUAUUUAAGAAAUUCUGCUUUAAUAUCAAUGAUAGACUGGAUAAAGAAAAUGUCAUACAUAUACACUGUGGAAUACUCUGUGGCCACAAAAAAGAAUAAGAUCAUUUCCUUUACGGCAUCAUGGAUGGAGCUGAAGGCCAUGAUCCUAAACAAACUAACACAGGAACAGAAAACCAAAUAUUGCAUGUUCUCACUUAUAAGUCAGAGCUAAAGCAAGAAACACAUGGAUACUAAGAGGAGAGCAACAGAUACUGGAGCCUACUUGAGGGUGGAGGGUGGGAGGGUUGUUAGGAUGAGGGAGAGGAGAAAAGUCUCUUUAAUGAGUUAAUGUACAUGGGAACUCUUGGAAGGGUAUUCUGGUAUGCAGUGUUUAAAAGCUUACUUGAUCACAAAUCAAUGUUUUGCUGAGCACUUUUUGAGUCUAGUGUCCCAUAAAAUACCUUAAGAAAAGAUGUUAUAACUUACAGUGCUAGCCACACAGAAUAAAGGUGGGGCAGAAUUUCUUCCAUGUUAUCCCACAUAUUGCCGUUUAGCACCACUAGAUUCUAUGCAAAAGUAAAUUUGCUGAGAAAUUCACUGCAAAGAUGCCAUUGAACACAUGCAUUUAUUGCAUGCCCAUUUUGUGCCACUGCCAGGAAUAAGGGCUGCAUGAUACCAACACAUCCUAACUUCAUGGAGCUUACGUAUCACAUGAGGAAGUGACCUCCUGACGACACCUUCAUUCCAGAUGGGGCCCAACAGACCUGACGUCAACCCUGCUGCACAAGUCUCCUGAAGAUCCCUUUGGAGUCUGCAGAGGAUACUGCAUCACCUUGUAGGAGCUGGUACUAGUAAUCUCAUCUUGGUGUCCAGGCCCUUGUUCUUCCACCUCUAACUCCAAUGCAACCUCCUGUGAUGCUGGUGGAUCCAAAAGGAUAGUUCAUGACACCAGGACCUCAUCCUCUUGCUCCUCCAGAAGGCUUGUGUGGACCACCAUGAGGAUGUUUUCAGCCAAGCCAUUUUGGUGGCCUGCAACAUUUUUCUAUCAAAGCUAUGGGUCCACUCUCCCUCAAGGAAUGUUAUAAAUCCACAUGGUGUCCCUGGGCGUCAGGCUUGGCCGCAACAUCUGUGGCUGGAGAAGCCAAUGUGGCCCAGGAGCUCCCUGCUGGCUGCACAUCUGAACGGCUUCAAGAGUACAAGUUUCCCCAUCAAAGGUUUGGAAUAAAUUACACUAAAAAAUUGGCUCCGGAAAGAAUUAUUUUGGAUAGGACAAGGUGAAGCUCUCAUGAGGUGUGUUAAAUGCAUCCCUCUGUGCAGUGGGUGGCUGCGGGAGAGCUGGAGGAGGUGCUCAAAGGCUGUGGGGAAAGUGGAGAAACUCUAACCCUGCUGUGGGGAAAGUGGAGAAACUCUAACCCUUGGACAGAAAUGCCAGAUCUACUGACGGGACAAGAUUUUGGAAACUCAUUUUUUAAACAAAUGGUUUUACAAAGCUUUAUAACUUAAUAUGAACAUAUAUCUUAUAAACUAGUCAUCUUUUUCCUGAUACUUCAUUUUCAAAGCCUGUCCUUCCCCACUUCAUGGAGUGCUGGAACCAGGGCACACUAGCUUAUGAGAGCUGAUUGUUAAGUUUUCAGGAAUUUUGUGAGCCAGUUGUCAAACACAGCUGAUAUUCAAAUUAAAUUACAUAAACUUUCAGUUAUAUAAGUUAUCUUAAAAACCAGGACAAGAAAUGCCCCACACUCAUCAUUGCUUCCUAAUUAUUUUGUUACAUUUGAUUAUGGAUCUACAUUUUUGAGGUUAGUUACAUCUCUCCUACCUGUUUGGUGGACAUACUGUAUAAUGGUGGACCACUGUGUAUCCCAUUACAUCUCCAUGGUCAGUGACAUCACAUGGGUUGUUUGAAGUCAACAUGAUGGGAGUAUUUACAUCACAGAAACUGACUACAAAUCAGGGCGUAGACUUAUCAUUUCAUUUAUGAUCCAGACAAGAAAGUGGACAAAAUGUUAGUAAUGCAUACUAAAUUUAAACGUGUGUUGUGCCUGUAGUUAUUAUAUAUGAAUAGCCUAAAAAUUGACAGAAGAUUCUUCUAGUAUUUAACAACUAUUAAAGCAUUAUCUAAUUCAGCAAAGAAGUUGCUCAUGUCAUCAAUGAGCAAACAUUGUACUCACAUAAGUCUUUUUGUUUGUUUUUCCUUAAUAUGUGAAUAUAUUAACCAACAAUUUGCACAGGAAUUAUACUUGUUUGUUAACUGCCAAAAUAGGUUGACUAAGGACAAGAGUUAGAUAAAAAUCAAGGAAAGCAUCCAUAAGAAAUAAAUUUACUAUAUAGAAUUUACAAUAUAGAGUUUUGUGUAUUUUAUUAUACUUAUAAAUUAUGUCCUUAUAUCCUUUAUGCUAGUAACACUUAUAGUAAAUCAAUGCACAUAUUUGUGUAUACAUUUCUUCCUGGAGAGUUGAUAGUUAGACUUUUACUGGCACAUCACUACCCAUAAAUAAAUUUGAGUUUCUUACUCCUGCUUGAAAUUUGCUUUUGUUUUCCCAGAGCCAAAGUUCCUCCUUUAUUAGAUACUGGAAUAGCAAUGGCCCAAGUGAGGGAGAAAGAUGCUUGGCCCCCUUAAGAUGGCUCUUGGAAUGCCCCACAAAAGGAGCUACAGCUUUGCCAGAAGAGAAGAGGCAACAGGACGUAUUUCUGUUCAUGCCUUCCCUAGGCCCUAAACGUGGAUUCUAUUCAUCAGAAAAAAUACACAUGAAAAAAUUUUUCAUUUUACCCAGACUGCCUUCCAAUGGCAUUUUUUGUUCUAGUACUCUGAGCCCAUGGAGCCAUAUUCUAUCUCCCAAUACAUGCUUCAGACCCAUUUUAGUUUGACAGCCUGUUACACCUCCUUCUCUUUAAUGCAACCACACCCAAGCUUAAUGGUCUGAGAACUGUUAAUGUCACCAGCUUUGGCUCAUAGCCUGUGAGUCAGACGGUACCUCCCAACACCCACAUCCCCACACCAUCAAGAAAGGGCAGACUGGUAGCCUAAUAGUGUCUAGCAAAAGGCAGGGGUUCCCUGGAUGCCAUUUAACCAGUGGCUUUGCCAGGGACAGUAGCAGGGAAAGGAGGAUCAUGGUGGUGGCUACAUGAUGGCUUGCUUGUGAGUCAUUUGGGGUGCCCCUGGAGUUAGUCUAAGUAUCAGAUAGAAUAUGGUAUUUGAAAGAAAAUUAAACUUACUAGUUUGUACUCUCUGGGCAUAUUCAAGCAUUCAUAGACUUGAGAAAAUGUUCUCACCCUCAUAGCGAUAUCCUUCUAACGGCUCCUGCACAGAGGGAGGACUGUAUGGAUCAAUGGGAAAAGAUGUGAAGUCAGGGGACUUGGUUCUACUCUCAUUUCUGUUACUAAUGAGCCCUUUGGCUUUGGACAGGUUAUUUUACUUCCUUGGAAAUUAGUUUUGUAUAAAAUUAUCAACAGUUUCCAGUAGAAAUGGUUCCUUAUAACUCUGUCACUCUAUGACACUUCGUCUUUUGUUUCACGGGGUAAAUGACACACAGGUCUUUGGUCAGAAAGUCAAGGGCAGACUCUAGCAUAUUGGUCAUAUCAAUUCUUUGAAUCCCAGGCCUCAAAUUCUUUAUGGCAGUGGGCAUAAAUCAUAAAUAAUUCCAGGCUUCUACUCCCAGAUUUCUUAGAAGGAUCAGAGCACUGACAUUCUUUGGCAGAUGAAAAAAGAAAUUCAGUUAUCUGGAAUGCAAAUAAAAAAAAAAAAAAGAGAGUGUUCUCUCCUGUUGAAAAUGUUUUUGAAGGGCAGUAGCAGUUUUUCUCGCUUUCGUAAAAACAGAGAAAAUAACAGUAUUUUUCCUAUUAUCAUGGCUCUGUUCUGCUGUAGGAUUGAGAUUCAGAAUAUGAGUGAUCGUUAUGCAUUCAGCAUCAUUUACUUUUACUGUAGAAGAUUCAAGAGAUUGUCCUGAACAUAUACUGUCUUAGGAGACAGCAUUUAUUAAUUGUAUUUUUACUUCAUGCUUAGACAUUUUUAUUGAUUACAUAAUAUAUUUUAUUUAUUAUGUCUGUGCUCUCCAUGUAUCACUUAAAGUUUAAAUCUUUCUCAUAAAACUGGAACUUCAAAAAAAGUUUCAAAUAUUUUUUAGGUGGUGGUGGUGGUAGUGUUCCAUUUUGCUAGGUUCUGCUUAAUUAAAGUGCUAAGAUGUUUAAAGAAUCCAGAAACAUAAAACAUUUGUACUGUGUUCUGGGUAUCAAAGACUACAGUUGUUAUUUAACAAGACAGUUGCUCAUAAGCAAAUGUUUUCAGCCUGACCCACCCUGUGGCAGGAGCUACUUUUCCUCAGAUGCAAUUAAUUUCUCAGUAUUGGAUUUUGGGGUUGUCAUGGUUUUACUCUUCAAUUUUUAAGUGCUUUUUGGAGCACCAUCUCUGUGUUCUCUUUAUGCAGUCUUAGCCUCCAAGGAGGUUGCAUUCUAGUGUUCAGGUACCAGAUAUAUUCCCUGCCCAGACCAAGACCAAUUUCCAAGGCAAUGAAAGAGAAAGGGAGUGUGAGAAAGAUAAGCAAGAAGGAAAGAGAUAGAAGAGGAAAAGAGCAGGGCUAGUCACACAGAACUUGUGCUUAAUUUUUAAGUUAAGGAGAGCAGAAUUCAAACUCUACAAAGAACGCCAGUGCCAUCCACUUCUGGAGCGCCUGAGGUGAGGUGGAGCCUGUCUUCUAAUGGGAAUCAUAGGCUCUAGGUAUCAAAACUGUGGCAUGCGGUUCCUCCACUGGGCUGUUUUGACUCAAGACUUCCCUGCCCAUUGUCAACAGGAUAUCAUAAAACUCUCUUCCUAUCAUAACACUAUUUCAAUCAUGCAAAGAUUUCUAAAAAAAAAAAAAAAAAAGUUAAGCCUGAGCUGUUUGCAUUAAGGAAUUCAGAGGUAAACAAGUUUCUUGAUGACCCUGAUGUUGGAGGCUUUUUGUGUAUCCUUCGGUAAGAAAUGGAACUGAGUCUUCAUUCCCAUACAACCAACCAAUCAAUCAAUGAAACCAGUCUCUUCACUCAUCUCUACUGCUGCACCCCUGCCAAAUGUAAAACAUUGUCUCUGUUGCUGAGCUCUUGAUAUAGCCACGAACUGAUUAUUUCUUUGUGGCUUGCUCAUUUUGUCAAUUAUUCAGAUAGUUUUCUCUUGCCUACCUGUUAGCAUCUUUACCAGUAAUGAGAGAAGAUGAUCUCGAACUAGUUCAUUUGUUUUUGCAUUUGGUCAUGUAUUAACAGUUCUUGAAUUACUUUUAAUAGAAGGAAAGUUGCAACUAAUGCAUAAAACUAGGAUUUUGCAUUGUUCUGGUGGUUUGGUUGUUUAUGUCAGCUCUAACCUCUGGUUCUAUUGGUAUUUGAUAAGUUAUUCUCACAUCUAUUUAAAAAAAUUCAAAAUCAGUUUUGUCAAAUGGCUGAGACCUAGCCCCUAGAGUAUAGUGGUGGUAAUGUUGAUGUGCUAUGCCUCCUGGCUUUAUUCUAGGUAAAUAAAUCAAUAACAGCUCUUUUGAUCCUUUCAUCUUUCUUUUACUUCCACUGUGGAAAAGUUUAAGUAGAAAUAUAUCUGUGUAUCUAUAUCAUGCGUGUUUUUUUGUGAAAAGGGUAAUGGAAUACAGAAUGCCAUACAUGGGUUAUUCCCACUAUGAAUUAGUCUCUUUUAUCUGACUCUGACCAAAACAGAUGUUGGCAGCCUUUCUAUUCCAGCUCCCUAAGUCAGACUAAGACUAUCAGUUCCGCUUAGGGAAGCUGUAGGGAAAUGAUUUAACUCUUUCAAUAGACUCUUAGUAAUUUUUCCCUUGGUUCCCUUUUAUUAUAAACUACAAACAAACAAAAUUAGAAUACAUCUCUAUGCAACAAUGAAAGAAAAAUAGCAAUAUUAAAAAUACAUCAAAUACAACUCUAGAGGGAAGUGAAUUUUUAUUCAAGGACUUUUAAGAAUUCUGACAUUGAAAAGACAUCUUUGCUUCAGGAGGCAGCUGAAUGUGUUUCCAACUUACAGUCAAAGAUCAUUUGCAUAGAAUACCAAAAAAGCCAUUUUUUUUUUUUUAAUUCAGAGAAAGAAUAUCUAUCAGAGUGUGGCAGGAUGUAUCCUGCUAGGAUUCUUCUCUUUUCUACAGAAACUGACCAUUUAAAAAAGUCUUUCUAUGAUUGGUGCCACAAUAAAGCUCUUGUACUGAAUUCUGCAAUAACAUGUAAAUUAAUGGAAUGUGAAAAAUGGAGGGACUGCAAGGGAAAGGAUCAAAGGGUGAGAAGGGAAAAAAAAAGGGAAAGGGAGAUUAUUAGAAAAAAAUGUUCAAUAAACACAUAGCAUUUCAGGAAUUUAUCAUGGAAAGAAACAAUCUCUUUUUAGAUUUCAGGUAAAAACAAAAUUAUUUUUAAUUAAUAUGUAAAGACUAAGCAUUUUCCAAACCGUGCAAAGAAAACAGGAAAAAAAAUUACUUCUUAGACUCCAGGUACUUUUACAUAAUUUAUCUCACUUACUUCUCAUAAUUAUCCUAUAAAGUGAUCAUUUCUAUCAUUUUUUUCAUGCCUUACCCACGCCAGGACACCUGUGCAUUAGACUCCCAGGUAAUCAGGUUCUGUGGACUAAAACCUCUGUCGGCACAUUCUCUGUAUCCUGUAGCCCUUGCAGGAACAUUGGAAAUACAUGGCAGGAAGGGGCUGCCACCUUUCUUGCCCAAACCCUUCCAACAAAGUCAUCAAACAGUAAGUGUAACUGAGGAUGCAUUUAACCACUAUUCAUCAGUAAAUAGCAUCUGAAAACUCAAAUUCUGCAUACUGCCAAAAUAAAAGCUACUGUUUGUUGAUGGGAACUAUGCUAAACCCUUCACAUGUAUUACCUAAUUUAAUCCUUUCAGUAGCCUGCAAUUUAGGUGCUGUAUUAUUUUUUCAUUUUCAGAAAUUAAAAUUAAAGAGAUUGUUAGUCACCUGAUAUCACACAACCAAGAAAUGGCAAAAAUCUGGCAUUUUAAAUUCCAGAGUUUGAAUUCCUAACUGCCUCAUUCAAAACCCAGUUCUGUUACAUGUCCUUUAUUUCGCUCACAGCCGUGGAAGAUAUGGGGUAUGCCCCUGUGUUCUUUCUCCAGUAACCUCUCCCCAGAACCUGGAGGUCCUUCUCUUCCCAUCGCUGCACUGUCACUAGAAGGUAAGCUGCGUUGUGUAAGAAACAGCACAGAAAGAUAUUUUUUAAGACAUAUAGCAUUUCUGCUUAGGUGAUAGGUGAUGGCCAUACUGUUACUUGUUGAUCACAAAAGGGCUUAAAACAGGGACAUUAAAUACCGGAGGAAAUAACGGAUCACAAAAGUUCACUAACUUGUCCAUCACACAACGAGGGUACUAGAAUUUGGAGCUAAUUAGUCACCCUGAUCUGGAUUUGAGACCCGUAGGAUUGAGAUUUGUAACUUAUAACGUUGACCGAUUCUUCACCCUCUUUCCAUUGUACUGAAGGGCUGGGCUAUUUGUUUGGUUCAGUAUGUUUUGGAUCUGCUACUGUGUUUUCAGUCAUGAGAACCUGUUCCAUGAGGCGAGGGUCCUGCCCAUUAACUUUUGAGCAGGACACAUGUCUAAUAUAACUGUGUUGGCCAUACAGGCAAUUUGGAUAACAUCUGUUCUGCCAGCACACUGACAAACUUCCAUGUUAGGGAGGUCACCAAGCAAACUGUUGCACAUUUGUCAAUAGAUGAUUCUUUGUGUGUGGUUCUCACUUACUCCUGCAGCUCACGACAAAGAAGGCAUCAUGUGUCUAUAGGACAGCCACCUCCUGGCAUUUGCACUAAAAUUCAGUUUCUUAUGACAGUGUUUUUGUUUUGUUGUCAGGAUUCCUCCCUCUACUUCCCAUAAGCAAACACUUCUCCUGUUCUAAGAGCUGGUGAUUCGGUAGUGAAUGAGACAGGCAAGGUCCCUGCUGUCAUGGUGUGUACAUCUAGUGCGGUUGGUAAGACAAUGAACAAAAUAACUUUCAAAGCAAACAAAAUAGUGGGGUGCUCUGGAGAGUACGUGGAGAUCUGUUGUAGAGGGUUGGUUGAGGAGGGUUUCUCUAAUUGUCAAUGCUCAGGUUGAAACUAGAAUGACCAGAUGGAGCCAGCCAGGAGAAGACCCGGCAGUGCAUUCCAGGGAAAGGGAAGUCCAAAAGCAAUGUCCUAAGAGGAGAAAAUCCUGGCAGGUUCCUGGAAAAGAAGGCAUGUGGGUCCAAUGUAUACGGUGGAGAGAGGUAGGAGAUGAACUCAGAGAGGUUGUCAGCACACAGACCAUAUUCAACAUUGGAGACCCUUAAAGGGUUUGGAUGUUGUCUUCAGUAUAGUCAUGGGCUGCAUAACAACGUUUCCAUCAAUGAUAGACUUCAUGUACAACACUUGUCCCAUAAGAUUAUAAUGGAGCUGAAAAAUUCUGGUUACCUAGUGAUGUCUUGAUGAUUCUGACCCUAGGCGAAUGUAUAUGUGUGUGUCUCAGUUUUUAACAAAAAUGUUUAAAAAGUAAAAAACAAAACUUUUUAAAAAUAGAAAAAAACUUAUAGGAUAAGGAUAUAAAGACAACAUUGUGUACAGCUGUACAAUCUGUUUUAAACUACGUGUAACAAGAGUCAAAAAGCUUAAAAAUAUUAAAAAGUUUAUAAAGUAAAAAAGUUGUAAGCUAAGGUUAAUUUAUUAUUGAAGAAGGAAAAUUUUUGUGUGAAUUAAGUGUAGCCUAAGUGUACAGUGUUCAUAAAAUCUAUAGUAGUGUAUAGCAAUGUCCUAGGCCUUCACAUUCACUCACCACUCCCUCACUGACUCACCCAGAGCAGCUUCUAGUCCUGCAAGCUCCAUUCAUGAUAUGUGCCCUAGACAGGUGGACGAUUUUUCAUGUUUAUACCAUAUUUUUAUUACAUCUUUUGUAUGUUUAGAUAUACAAUUACUUGCCAUUGUGUUACAGUUGCCUACAGUAUUUGGUAUAGUAACAUGCUGUACGGUUUGUAGCCGAGGAGCAAUAAGCUAUACCAGAUAGCCUAGGUAAGUAGUAGGCUCUACCGUCUAGGUUUGUGUAAAGUACUCUCUAUGAUGUUUGCACAACAACGAAAUCAUCCAAGGACAAUUUUUUCAGAGUGUACCUGUGUUAAGCAAUGCAUGAUUGUAUCUUAAAAAUACAUUGGAGACUUUUGAACUCAAGAAUGACAUGACAAUAAUAAUUUAAGAAGAACACUAAAGCUAUUCCUGUGUAUAGGGGAACAAGAAUGGCAAUGGGGAGACUAGAUGGAAAUCAUUCAGGUAGAUGGUGAUGGCUGGGAUCAAAGUGAUAGCUGUGGUGAGAUUUGAGAUUGAAGUUGCUGAGAUAAGAAGAGUUGGGGAAGAUCACUUUCAGGGAUGGGGUGAAGAUAAACGCCAUAGUUCUAUUAAGUUGAUAAACUUGAAAUGCCUAUUAGAUUUACAAGUAGAGAGUCUGGUUGGAAGUUGCAUAUACGUAUCUGGAGCUCAGGGCUGGAGAUAGAAGUUUGAAUUCCUUUGCUAAUUUGAGGCUACCUCAGUAACGGUGAAAAAAAAGUUUUCAAAUUGAGAUAAAUCCUAGCAAGUAAAAAUUGGGAAAGUGGCAUUUCUAGAAAAGGAGAAGGGUUACAUUAUUUACUUUGUGGUUUAUUGUAUGAGGAUACACUUAUGUAUAAGACAUUUAUACUCUAUAUUACAUACAUACAGAUUAUAAAACAUCAGACCUAAUUACUUGGGCUCUAGAAACUCACAUCUAGCAGACAACACACAUAUGAACAACAGAAACACACAUAUGUGACCUACUUCCUUGCCCUGUACUGAACAAAAGCCUUCCACCAGCUGAGCACAUCCUUUUCUUGGAUAUUGAAUGAAGAAGAAUUCCUGCGUUGAAUCCUUAAGGUUGCUAGAAUCAGCCCUGGAGGUCAGUGGGCUGACAUGCUGGAGGCAGACCACUCUCAAGCACUCACACCGUGUGCACUGAGCCAUGGGAAAGGUGUUUCUGUAGAAGAAGCUAAAAGAGCCUGCCAAAAGAUUACACACCUUUGCCUUGAAGUUCAGGAGAGGCUUCGCAGCAGAGGCGACAUUUCAGAUGCAUCUUGAACUAGGAGCAGGAGUUUGCUACGGGGCAUGCAUGGAGUGGGAAGGCUGUUUCUACCAAGGGAGUUUUCCAGAGCGAAGGGGUGUCCUGGAGAAAGUCAGCCAAAAAUGAUUCUUCAUCUUUGAACACAUUUCCCAGCUGGAUAUACAGAACCAGGUGAUCGUUGCUAGGUUAUUCAAAUUUUUAUUUAACUUUUGAAAUCUGCCAGUGCCAGACUUUCAAUGUUUCAUAGAUGCUUUAAAAAUCCUGGGUCAUUUUAUUUGCUCAACUUGUAACAUGAGGCACAUUUUCAUAUAGAGCUUUGACUGGAGAGUGUUCUUCCCUGUACCCUCCCAUCUUCUGUCAUAGGCAGAACUGACAAAAACUAUACAUAAGUAGAUGAUUACAGCAUAACUAUAACCGAUUUCCUUUUAUGUAAAAAACAUUCCAAAAUGAUAAUUACAGGUAAUUACUGUAGCAUAGAUCUCAGUCUGUUCACCUUCUAACCUGAAGUGAGUUCAACUGGAGGUCACAUAUUGCAGAUGGUGGCUAGUUUUUGAACACACUGGUGCUCUCUUUAUCAUUGCAUUUGUAAGAAAAUGCUUCUCAGCCACUUCUUGGCUUCAGUUUGAAGUUACUGUCUGUUCCCAUUACACCCUGUAAUGCCAAUUUCUUCCUCUGCAUUUUAAUGACUCAAUACAGAUGUUUAAUUGAAGAUUAGGAAAAAGAUUACCCAGAACAGGGUUUUCUGAUUGUUGAUAGUAAAAUAUUUGCAAACCACUGUCCUGUUUAUGUCACUUAGGCUCCAAAAUUCCUCGACAUCUCCUGGGAAUUGCGCAGAGUAACAAAGUCACGACCAACAGAUAGACAGACUAGUUUGUAGGAAAGCUCUGUUUAGCCCGGUUAGUUUCUAGAAGUUUGUCUGUGCAUGAUAGACUGAAUAGUAGUGGUUUCUUAGGAGCAGCAAGGAACUAAUAUCUCUUCAUCUUCCCAGGUAAACAGAAGAUAAAAGUUGCUUUUCUGCUGUCAACUUUAAGCUUGCCUCUUGCCAUGAUUGUGUAAAAACAUUUAGGAAAAAUACAAAUGACUUUCCUUGAGCAAGUUAUACCAACUGUCCGAUUUCUCAAGCUGAUAAAUGAGGAUGAUAUCUCCUUCACAGAGUGGAAAGAUUAAAUUAAAGCAUUCAUAUAAGUAAUCUAGCCUGGAGCCUGGCAAUUCUGAGUAUAUGACACAUGUUAAUUAUUUCCUUUUACCUGGAGCCUUAGUAGGGCUGCUAAUACCAAAAUUUGAUGUUCCUGAUUUCAAAAUUUUCCAAGUCAAAUAAUUAGUUUCAGCUACCCAUUAAUGCCUUACAAGAAAUCAAUAUCACCAAUGACCCACUUGACCAUUUAUUUUAGUUAUCAGAAUAAUAACAAACCCUGGUGCUGGUGUUUGGAGUUGACCUCAGGUGGUCUUGUUAUUUAAGUGCCCUGGCUGAACUUGAUAGAAAUAGGACUAGGACAUACAAUCUUCAGAUUUAUUAUCUGUGUGACAAUUUAGUAAAGUCUUUGGAGUCUCACAAUGGUUCUAGGGCAAGAUGUUGAUGAGUCUCCAAAAUGGAAAUGUUUAUAUAGCUCCCUGGCUUUCCCACCAUUAUCCAUUUUGUCUGUAAAGCUUCACACAAGUUAAUCGAACAAUUAAAAAUUUCUGUCUCAUUUUAUUGCUAUUUUAAAUAAAGAAAUUAUUUUUUAAAAAGUAAUCAGAGAAAUGGCUUACACUAAUAGAGGAUCCUGGAGUUGGACACUGGGUAGCGUGAUGGUUUGCAUGUUCCCCUGAAGUUCACGUUUUGGAAACUUAAUUCCCAGUGCAACAGCAUUUGACAGGUGGGACAUUUAAGAGAUGGGUAGAUAAUAAGGCUCUGCCCUCAUGAGUGGAUUAAUGCCACUAUCUUGGGAGUGGCAUCCUUAUAAAGGAUAGGUUCUGCCCCCUUCUCUCUCUUUCUUGCACACUCUCAUCCUGUGAUGCCUUCCACAUGUUAUGACACAGCAAGAAGGCUCUCACCGAUGUGGCUCCUCCAUCUUGGACUUCUCAGACUGCAGAACUGUAAGCUGAAUAGACUUCUAUUGUUUAUAAACUACCCAGUCUGUGGUAUUCUGUUACAGCAAAACAAAAUGGACUAAGACAGAUAGGCUUAUAGUAUGUUUCUGUUUGCCCAAAACAGACUCAGAUUAUGCUUGUUGUACUCUUGUAAUUAUUAAUAACCCCCCUUUUACUGUCAAAAGUUGUCCCAAUAUGUACAAUAAAUAAGUUGUCUCAAUUUUGACAAUAUGUUGAGCUGCCCUCGGAUAGUCCACUGUAUUCCAUCACUAGCUAUGUGGUCUCUCAUGAACUCCAGUCUUGCAGUAGAAUUGCACAUGAUUACAUAAGAUAGACUGUUGAAGUUUCUCUCCAAUGGUCUACUGUGAGUAGCUGAAUCUGCAAAUGUUGAGGCUCUACAGGAUUUAAACACCCACUGAGCCACAUCUGUCUUCUACUAAGUGGCUCCCCUCAGAUCGAAUCCUAUAGUUUUUCAGCAGGCAGACUCCCACUUCCCUCAGAAAACUUCACCAGGGUUUGAGGUUACUUCUUAUCACCAAGUUUUUUAAUGGCAUCAGAACCAGCCUGACUGUUCCUUUUUUCUGCCCACAAGCUGUAUUGUUACUCAAGUGUGCUUCUUAAAACAAUGAAUAUGUAACUCAUUAAGUGCCUGCAAGAAAAGGGAGAUGUUAAGGAUCUAAUUUUAUUAACUGACGUGGACUGCAGAGACAUACAGAGCCUUUUGUAAAGUUUGGAUCCAGGGACACUCCCCUACCCCUGCUCCUACUGUAGGAAGAGACGUCAUCACACCUGUUUAUUGCCUGGUAGAUGGCAAGGAUCUGUUGACCAUAUGCAUGCAAGUGAAACAACAUUGACCUUGACAAGAGAUGUUUCUUAUGAGUUGCAUUUAGGAAAAAUUUUUCUAUCUAAGACUGGUGUGGUCACAUUAUUAAUACCAAAUAAGCUGGCUGUGAACAACUCAGUGGGUCAUCUUGUAUCCACCUUACCUUCUAGGAAGAACUAUGUCCAUACCAGCCUAGCUUAAACAAGAAAAACAUAUAAAAAUAAGUCAAAACAAUCCUGAAGGUUAAAACUCCCAGCCUCCCUUAGUAACAAAUUUCAUUCUAUUCAACAUCUCACCUCAAUUUCAUGCACUUUAAUUCCCAAACUUCUUAUUCUUAAUGGAAAUACAGCAAAUGCUUAGAAUUAAUGUAAUCCUAACAAAACCACAACAGUAACAAACACAUAGCACUUACUAUGCACCAGGUACCGGUUCAGGCAUUUUAUAUACAGUAACAAAUUUAAUUUUCACAAAAAAACUUAUUAAGGUAGGCACUAUUACUGUUGUUAUUUUACAGGCAAGGAAACUGAGGCUUAGAGAGCUCAUAGUCAUGCAAUCAGGAGUGCUGCAAUGUAGCUCCAAAGUUCGUGUUACCUAAAUUGUUUUCUGUCCUGCCUCUCACCUACAGGGAAUUACAGCUCACAUUACACAUGUGUUAAGGUCGAUGUUGCUUCACUUGCAUGUAUAUGCCUACAUAUCCUUGUCCUCUGCCUGUCAAUAACCACCCCCAUCCCUUGGGAAUAUAGUCACAUGUCUGCCUUCAGCCUUCUUAAGACACAAUAUACCUAAAUUCCUUUACUUCUUUUGUUUUGAAAAUUAUUUCCCAAACAUUUAAUCAUUUUGGUUGUUCUCUCCAAGUGUCCCAGAACAUGCUUCAACUGGUACCUUCUGUCCUGUUCCGCUUCAGCAAACACAUAUGGCUACUUGAAGAAGAGGGGUUUUGUAUGGUUUAGGGGUAAACAGGGGAACAGAAACAGGACUGCUCAAAUUCCCAAAGCCAUAGGCCAUUUAACUAGGAGAGAAGACAACAAUUUCUUUAUUUCUUACUGUGACCCAUGGAAGAUGAGUCAUUUAGUUUUCCUUGAAGAGAGGUGUAUAUUAACACAAUUAGAAUUCUAGUUAAAACAUCUUCCUUAGUCACCCAGGAAACUAUGCUGGUGGGAGACAUGAAUGCAUGUACCUUGAGCAAAUAAACAGAUAAAGAGAAACCACACCAUGACUCCAACCAGCUGCCACACUAUUAUGAAACCUCUCCCGUCUUUAGUAAAUGUUGUAGGAUAAUUGAUGGUUGUAUCUUUUUUCUUGUUUCUUGUGGUAUUGUGGUCUUCCCCGUUAAAGGAUAGUCAUCCUUUUAAGUGGGAUCCAACAACCUUCCUCAAAGGUUGGGAGUCAAAACUGAGCCAAAUGACUUUGAAAUGAUAUUUAAUAUCAGGUUGUCAAGGUUUUAGAAUAUGAAGGUGUUUGCAUUAGGAGCUUACUUACUUGGUUACAUUAUUUGAUUUUGCAUAAACUCCAUCUCCAUUCAUAAGCUGUUUUAUGUAAGUAGUACAGAGGCUGCACAUAAUUGUUGUUCAAAAUAUGUAAGUUUCUCAUUCUACUGAGUAAGUUAAUUUAUGCCUCAGCACACUUCUACGAUGCCAUCGGGUAUCCCCAAUUUCACACUCCAUUUUUGGUCUAAGUUGUCGUAUGUGGCAUAAACAUGAACAAAUAUAGCUUUCAUGGUGCUCAGUUUGAAGUGACUAUCUCUAAGGAGCAACAUUCCUCACAAUGGGAUAUGGUGGUAUACCAUGAACUUUUAAAGCCAUCUUAUUGGCUAUAUAUUUAUAUAAUAUGUAUUAGAAGACUAUUUCUAGCAUACCAAACCUACUAAUUCAUGGAUAUUAUUUUCUAAAAUAGGGCUAAAGAAACAAGAAGUAGACUUAAAAAAAUUACAGUACAUAUGCCUAUAAGUCAAUAUGGCAAGACUUUUGAAGGAAAUUCAUGAAUGUGUAAAGUUUGAGACACCAUUAUAGGGCAUCUUGUGAUACAGAGACUGUUUUCCUUUGUCUGUUGAUGGCUAUGGAUCAGUGCCAAGAAUCUUAUGGCUCUUUUUCCAGUAUCUUCUAGAUUUGUCUUUAAGUCUUGAAUUUUCCUGCCCAUUUCUGACUCAGCCUUGGUCUUCCGUACCCUUGCAAUGCUCUUCUAAUCCUCUGCAGCUCUCCAAUUUCUUCCUGUCAUUCAGGGUCCGUUUCGUGUAGUAUUCUUCUGUGAAGCUGUUUCCGUCAUGCAUUCACACAGCCUUUGGUUUCCCUGUUACUUGGCCUUUCUCCUUCUCUCUCUCCUCCCAGGUCCCCAGCACAAUGCAGCACAUGGUUUACUAAUGUGGGUUGGAAUAUGCUGGGUAUUGAACAGCCUUGGUUUCUCUGGGUUGAUAAGUCUGGAGGAGGGCAAAGGCAAAAUCAAUUCAAGCAAGUCACAGAUCAAAUUGGGCCCAGAAUUUGUUAUUAGCUCUGUUCAUAAAUAUUCCGCUAAGUUGACCUGUAUCCAUUAGGACAGUCCAAGAAAACUCAGAUUCUCCCAUAUUACAAGUCACAUCAUCAGUCGCCUAGGGACAGUACUAUUCAUUUUUAGGUAGCUUGCUUGUUCACGAGUCAAAAUCCUGAUGUCAUUUAUUUUCUGAAUUCUGAUCAAAUUUCAAAGUCAAAGAAUAUAUGUAUUUUAAAUUGAUGUUUUGCCAAAUUUGUCCUCGAGAGAAGUUGUAUAAUUUAUCUCUCACCACACACUUGCUGACAUGCUUGCUAUAAUUUUGAAUGUGUAGGUUAAAAAGGGAUAAUUCAUGGUGGUGCUAAUUUGACUUUUUAAAAUUAUGAGGGAUGUUUUUAUUUUUAACUUUUGAAUACUGUAUAUAAAAUUAUGAGAUGCUUUUUGUGUUUGUUUGUUGCUUUUUUUGCCUUUCUUUCUUAAGGCUACCUUUUUUCUUCCUUCCCUCUCUUUCUGUUUCUCUCCCUCCACUGAUUUAUAAGAGAUCUUUUUGUGUGAAACAACAUGUAUUGCAAAAGUUGUAUUCAAGCUUGUUGUUUCUCCCUUGACUUUAUUUGUGGCAUAUUUUUCCUAUAGUAGUUUUAAAUUUUGGGACAAAUUCAGUAGAUUAAUCUUUUUUGUGGUUUCUGGUUUCCUUAAAAAUACUUUCUCUACAGAAUUUGUAAAAAUUAUCUCAUUGUAAAUUCAGAUUUCUAAUUUUUUUUUUUUUUUUUUUGAGACGGAGUUUUCGCUCUUGUUACCCAGGCUGGAGUGCAAUGGCACGAUCUCGGCUCACUGCAACCUCCGCCUCCUGGGUUCAGGCAAUUCUCCUGCCUCAGACUCCUGAGUAGCUGGGAUUACAGGCGCGCGCCACCAUGCCCAGCUAAUUUUUUGCAUUUUUAGUAGAGACGGGGUUUCACCAUGUUGACCAGGAUGGUCUCGAUUUCUGGACCUCAUAAUCCACCCACCUUGGCCUCCCAAAGUGCUGGGAUUACAGGCGUGAGCCACCACGCCCGGCCCCAGAUUUCUAAUUUUUAAAAAGGUGUUCUAUAUUUAUUCUAUCUAUGGAAUAAGUGGAACAAACACUCUGAGAGACUUCAAAGAGCAAAGAAAGAUCCUGUUUCUGGCAUUCCUGGCUAUUCUCAGGCCUCCCUCAUUCUUGUCAUUCUGUGCAACCUCUGGGCUUGGGUUUCAGCUGCUGACCCCUGAUUCAGCACUUACAUGUUUGAAUGACCUCUUGGGACCCAUUUAUUGGGCCUAUAGACCACAGUCUGGUGUAAUAUUGUUUAUUGAAUGAAUGCAUCAAAGGACUGAUGUUAAGUAAAACAGUGCCUGAGACAAAUAAGCUUGUGUAAGUGUUAACUGUCACUAUUUCCAAGUGUUGAAUUGAAAUUAUCUUUAUCACCAUUCAAAAAUAGUUAAAUAGUUGAGGCUGCUGAUGGUUAGGACAAAAACUAAUUUUCAAAAUUUAUACAGGAUAUUAUGAACAAACUAAGAAAUAUAUUUAGCUAUAUUCUAUUUUACAAUAUUUGUAGAAGGUUGAAUUAUAAGCAGUUCCUUUUAAAUAAGCCAUUGUCGCUCUGGGAUACAAGCUGCUUGAAGUUGGAUCUGAGGCAUUUGAGAGUGAAACGUAAGAAGAAGCUUGGCUAAAGAAACCUUUAAUGCAUUCUCACACUAUAAGGAAUGACUUUCCUGUUGAGUUUCUGUGUCACUUCCCCAUAUUUUCUGCCCUGGCUGAUUGCCUGCCAUGUGAUAUUGAUAAGUAGUUAUAUUUGUUUUUGUGAUUUUUUUGUAUUAAUUACAAAAUAAGUCAUUGAUAAGCUAUCAUAAACUUAAUAUGUUACAUUCCCAAUUAAGUUUGGUGUUUUUUGCCAAAAUUUAUACCAGUUUUUGCUAGGUGGAGAGGGGUCUUAUAUGAAGCUUUUCAAACAGGGCUGGGGGUGUCAUCAUUAGCUAUCAAUAAUUAACAGUGCUUCUGUUUCCUUUCAAGAUCAUUCCAAUCAAACUUUGAGAAUGAGAACUAUUUUAUGAUGACCUCACUAAGAAUUCCAUAUUGUGCUGAAAAAAAACCCGCUGAUGUAGUUAAUAGCAUCUGCUGUAGGGAAAUUGAUAC
Non-coding RNA from Callithrix jacchus (white-tufted-ear marmoset), 28964 nucleotides. Lineage: Eukaryota; Metazoa; Chordata; Mammalia; Primates; Cebidae. The record is from RefSeq and is a predicted model, not a curated record.